CUGUUUACCAAAAACAUAGCCCUUAGAAUGAAAUUAAAGGUGCAACCUGCCCUAUGGUUCUAAUACCUUUUAUAAAUAGAAGUGAAACUAGAACUAAAUGGCCGCGGUAACUCUGACCGUGAUAAUGUAGCGAAAUCAAUUGUCGUUUAAUUGACGACCAGUAUGAAUGGUUAAACGAAUUUUCCACUGUCUCCAUGAUAAACUUAAUGAAUUUAAAAUAAUAGUGAAGAUGCUAUUUAAUAAUUGUAAGACGAGAAGACCCUAUAGAGCUUAACUAUAACCUUUAACUAAAUGACGAUAAUUUAUCUGUCAAUAUUAAAGGUUGGUAGUUUGGUUGGGGCGACCAUCUUCUAAAUGUAACGAAGAUAAACAAUGAUAGAUAAAAAUUAUUAAUUUGACUGUAUAAUAAAUAUAUUUAACAGGUAUUAAAAUAGGUAAAUUGACCCGUUUAUUUUGAAUAAGAAAAAUAACGAUUAAUAAAUAAAAGCUACCUUAGGGAUAACAGCGUAAUCUUAUUUAAGAGUUCUUAUCGACAAUAAGGUUUGCGACCUCGAUGUUGAAUUGCGAUAACCUGAGGGUGCAGCAGCUCUCAAAGGUUGGUCUGUUCGACCAUUAAAAUCUUACAUGAUUUGAGUUCAUUC
This 641-nucleotide ribosomal RNA is filed under the name Liriope tetraphylla. Its description in RNAcentral is "partial large subunit ribosomal RNA". It matches the Rfam family "Bacterial large subunit ribosomal RNA", at positions 1800 to 2616 of the family's 2925-position model. Lineage: Eukaryota; Metazoa; Cnidaria; Hydrozoa; Limnomedusae; Geryoniidae. The record is from RNAcentral.